This 48-nucleotide non-coding RNA is filed under the name Schistosoma haematobium. Lineage: Eukaryota; Metazoa; Platyhelminthes; Trematoda; Strigeidida; Schistosomatidae. The record is from RNAcentral.
AUGCAACUGACGCGUCCAAAAUAGGACGAAGCGCACGUCAGACUGGAU